RNAcentral lists this long non-coding RNA (211 nucleotides) under Salvia miltiorrhiza (redroot sage). RNAcentral's name for it is "long non-coding RNA (SMIL_LNC013481)". Lineage: Eukaryota; Viridiplantae; Streptophyta; Magnoliopsida; Lamiales; Lamiaceae. The record is from RNAcentral.
UCCCAUGACAAAAAAAAUCUGAACUAGAAUCCAUGAAUUGGAAAAUUAUCGAUUGGAAAUUUCCCCCGCGUCCGAUUUUUCCCUCAAAUUUAAUCCGAGCUGGCAGUCGGAGAUCCAGCGUGUCUUCGCCGUCCGUUAAAUGAAACGACGCCGUUUGACAUUUAAUUAAAACGGUGUCGUUUUAAUUGUGGCUAUUGACAAAUUAACCCAA